UGGGGAAUAUUGCGCAAUGGGGGCAACCCUGACGCAGCAACGCCGCGUGUGUGAUGAAGGCCCUCGGGUCGUAAAGCACUGUGGGGUAGAACGAGCCGCCGAGGGUGAAUAUCCUUCGGCCCGACGGUACUACCAGAGGAAGCACCGGCUAACCCUGUGCCAGCAGCCGCGGUAAUACAGGGGGUGCAAGCGUUGUUCGGAAUUAUUGGGCGUAAAGCGCGUGUAGGCGGACCGUUAAGUCUGGUGUGAAAUCCCUCGGCUCAACUGAGGACGUGCAUUGGAUACUGGCGGUCUUGAGUCCUGGAGAGGGUAGCGGAAUUCCCAGUGUAGAGGUGAAAUUCGUAGAUAUUGGGAGGAACACCGGUGGCGAAGGCGGCUACCUGGACAGUGACUGACGCUGAGACGCGAAAGCAUGGGUAGCAAACAG
This 427-nucleotide ribosomal RNA is filed under the name uncultured bacterium. RNAcentral's name for it is "bacterial SSU rRNA". It matches the Rfam family "Bacterial small subunit ribosomal RNA", at positions 355 to 775 of the family's 1533-position model. The record is from RNAcentral.